This 488-nucleotide ribosomal RNA is filed under the name uncultured bacterium. RNAcentral's name for it is "bacterial SSU rRNA". It matches the Rfam family "Bacterial small subunit ribosomal RNA", at positions 28 to 514 of the family's 1533-position model. The record is from RNAcentral.
GAUGAACGCUAGCGGCGUGCCUAACACAUGCAAGUCGAGCGGUAUAUAGUGGAAUGAAACUUCGGUCGAGUGAAGCUAUAGAGAGCGGCGGACGGGUGAGUAACGCGUAGGCAACCUGCCCCAUACAGAGGGAUAGCCUCGGGAAACCGGGAUUAAAACCUCAUAACGCGAGGAGUUCACAUGGACUUCUCGCCAAAGAUUCAUCGGUAUGGGAUGGGCCUGCGUCUGAUUAGCUAGUUGGUGAGGUAACGGCUCACCAAGGCGACGAUCAGUAGCCGACCUGAGAGGGUAAUCGGCCACAUUGGAACUGAGACACGGUCCAGACUCCUACGGGAGGCAGCAGUGGGGAAUAUUGCACAAUGGGCGAAAGCCUGAUGCAGCAACGCCGCGUGAGCGAUGAAGGCCUUUGGGUCGUAAAGCUCUGUCCUUGGGGAAGAAACAAAUGACGGUACCCUUGGAGGAAGCCCCGGCUAACUACGUGCCAGCAG